This 408-nucleotide unclassified non-coding RNA is filed under the name soil metagenome. RNAcentral describes it as "partial contains 5.8S ribosomal RNA, internal transcribed spacer 2, and large subunit ribosomal RNA". The stretch from base 1 to 120 matches the Rfam family "5.8S ribosomal RNA", at positions 35 to 154 of the family's 154-position model. The record is from RNAcentral.
GAUGAAGAACGUAGCGAAAUGCGAUAAGUAAUGUGAAUUGCAGAAUUCAGUGAAUCAUCGAAUCUUUGAACGCACCUUGCGCUCCUUGGCAUUCCGAGGAGCAUGCCUGUUUGAGUGUCAUUAAAUUCUCAAGACCUGUCUGCUUUUUUGAUAGGUAUUGGAUUUUGGGGGUUGCAGGCUGUUUCAAAUAAAUAGCCUUGCUCUCCUUGAAUGUAUUAGUGGAGAAAAGCCAUUGAACUCCAUUGGUGUGAUAAAACCUAUCAAUGCCAUGAGCAAUAUCACUACUUCUCUCUGCUGUCUAACGGUGACUGUCUGUAUUAAUUAGUAUGGAUGGGGACAACUUGACCAACUUGACCUCAAAUCAGGUAGGACUACCCGCUGAACUUAAGCAUAUCAAUAAGCGGAGGA